This is a long non-coding RNA of Podarcis muralis (Common wall lizard), 1295 nucleotides long. RefSeq lists it as uncharacterized. The record is from RefSeq and is a predicted model, not a curated record. Lineage: Eukaryota; Metazoa; Chordata; Lepidosauria; Squamata; Lacertidae.
GUAUGCUUUGCGAGGAGAGCUGAGCCGGGAAAAGUCGCCCAGAGAUAGGAAAGUGUAGAGAAAUGCAUCUCCUUGUUUCGGUGGGUAAAUUCAAGAUCGUUUGGAAACCAUUCUUUUAGACGCAGGUUGGCGGAGACAAAAGACGGUGGUAGGUAGCGGUUAGAGUUCCUGACUAGGAAUCUUAGAGGUGAAGGGUUGGAAUCCACACGGCCAGGAAAUUUAUUGGAUGACCUUCCACCCCACUCACUGUUUCUCUUAGCUUUACCUACCUCACAAGGUUGCUGUGAGGAUAACAAAGAAGAGUGGAUAGAGCCAUUUGGAGCUCCUUGGAGAAAAAAGAAUUGGCCAGGUUUGACAGACCUGUAUGGUGAUUCAGGAGCAGGAAUACUUCAGCACCCACUUACAGCCAAAUGGCAAUGGCACUCACCUGAGAGGUAUCGGAGCUGAGCUCCAGUGAGCACUCUCUGGGGAAAAAAAGCCCUGUGUUCCAGUCAUGGCAAAGAGGGUCGUCUAGCAAGAACAUUUGGAUAUGUGGGCACAGUAUUGUGCAUUGGGCACAGAUGCACUCCAUCACCACUGGCUUGGGAGCUGCACUCAGCCUCCCAAUGGGAUUCAUUGGCUGGGCUGCCACGGCAUGAAAUAGCAAGAGUUUAUGCACUUGAUCAUGGCGAGAAUCGAGUCACAAGGGCUCCCGUACACCUUCAUCAUCCAUUUGGGGGGAAACGAUUUGGGCCAACGCAAGGGAAUUGACUUAACGUGGGCUAUAAUCAAAGACUUGCAGAUGCUGCACAACUUGUACUCCACCAUAUGCCUUGGCUGGUCCAAUAUGCUUGAGUGGCAUCAGUGGCGCAACCCUGACCCAGUGGGAAUCAACUGUACAAUUAAAGUAGGAAGUAAAAACUCUGCUGGAUGAAGUACAAUUGCCUCUGGUCUAUUUUUGGGAACUCUGCCACGUGUUUGAGUUUUUUCCUCCCCAGAAGAAGCUGGGGUGACACCCAGGUCCUUCUGCAUGGAAGGCAAGAGCUACGGCCCUUCAGUACAAAGAUGCUCUGGCCACUUUUGCCUCUGGCCACACCCACUUUUGUGUGACUGACUGCAGAGAAACCACAAAGAACAGAGAAUUCCUUUAAGAUUAUUCAAGCUAUAAUGGCAACUUGUUUUUUCUCUUCUUCUUUGCAUUUUACAUAUCAUCCAUUUUUGCAAUUGUGAUUGUGUUAACUGUCUUGCAGUGUCAUGAAAGAUGGCAUAUAAAUUUGCCAAUUAAAAAUAAAUAGAUUAAAAUAAAAUUGAACACA